This 322-nucleotide ribosomal RNA is filed under the name Imbricatea sp. RNAcentral describes it as "SSU rRNA". The stretch from base 106 to 322 matches the Rfam family "Eukaryotic small subunit ribosomal RNA", at positions 738 to 955 of the family's 1831-position model. Lineage: Eukaryota; Cercozoa; Imbricatea. RNAcentral also lists the same sequence under 2 other names. The record is from RNAcentral.
GAUUUCUGGUCUGACGCGCCUGGCCCGCUGGGGUUACCUGGUGAGUGCCGGUGCGCGUCUACCAUCCUUCUAGAAAACAGCCUUGCCCUUCACUGGGUGGAGGUUGCGAUCUAGAUCUUUUACUUUGAAAAAAUUAGAGUGUUUAAAGCAGGCUUACGCUAUGAAUACAUUAGCAUGGAAUAAUAAUUUAGGACUUCGGUCUCUAUUUUGUUGGUUUCUAGAGCUGAAGUAAUGAUUGAUAGGGAUAGUUGGGGGUGCUAGUAUUCAGCGGCCAGAGGUGAAAUUCUUGGAUUCGCUGAAGACUAACUUAUGCGAAAGCAUU